GGCGGAGUGGCCGAGUGGUUAGGCGGGCGUCUGCAAAACGCUCUACAACGGUUCGAUCCCGUUCUCACGCCU
Molecule: transfer RNA, 72 nt
Filed under: Mucilaginibacter sp. JRF
Lineage: Bacteria; Pseudomonadati; Bacteroidota; Sphingobacteriia; Sphingobacteriales; Sphingobacteriaceae
Description: tRNA-Cys
Rfam family: tRNA
About the family: Transfer RNA (tRNA) molecules are approximately 80 nucleotides in length.
Source: RNAcentral